CAGUCCUGAAAUUCAACACGGUGAGAUUUUAAAUUCUCAAAUUUUCCUCGAUAUUG
Molecule: non-coding RNA, 56 nt
Filed under: Plasmodium falciparum 3D7
Lineage: Eukaryota; Apicomplexa; Aconoidasida; Haemosporida; Plasmodiidae
Source: RNAcentral